RNAcentral lists this unclassified non-coding RNA (244 nucleotides) under Zerene cesonia (dogface butterfly). Its description in RNAcentral is "tight junction protein ZO-1-like, transcript variant X3". The record is from RNAcentral. Lineage: Eukaryota; Metazoa; Arthropoda; Insecta; Lepidoptera; Pieridae.
GUUGGUAUUUUUAACAUGUUCCAAUUCAAUAGAUCUAGCCGGCAGUCGGGAGCAACGUGGGUCAGCGUUCGAACUCUAUAGGAAGCCGCAGCACAUGCACAACUUGAGUUUCUACCACACAAUACACUCGUACUUAAAGAUUGAGGAGAGACGGCGGCGGCCAUGCUGCAUCCACCAGACUGUCAAAUCGUGAAGCGAUGCUGUCCCCGCUGGUGAUGUGCGGGCCGCAAGGGCUGGUGUUCCU